This 253-nucleotide ribosomal RNA is filed under the name uncultured bacterium. RNAcentral describes it as "partial 16S ribosomal RNA". It matches the Rfam family "Bacterial small subunit ribosomal RNA", at positions 524 to 776 of the family's 1533-position model. The record is from RNAcentral.
UACGUAGGGUGCGAGGGUUAAUCGGAAUUACUGGGCGUAAAGCGUGCGCAGGCGGUUUUGUAAGACAGCUGUGAAAUCCCCGGGCUCAACCUGGGAACUGCGGUUGUGACUGCAAGACUGGAGUGUGGCAGAGGGGGGUGGAAUUCCACGUGUAGCAGUGAAAUGCGUAGAGAUGUGGAGGAACACCGAUGGCGAAGGCAGCCCCCUGGGUCAACACUGACGCUCAUGCACGAAAGCGUGGGGAGCAAACAGG